RNAcentral lists this ribosomal RNA (914 nucleotides) under Aspergillus fumigatus. RNAcentral describes it as "LSU rRNA". It matches the Rfam family "Eukaryotic large subunit ribosomal RNA", at positions 38 to 967 of the family's 3401-position model. The record is from RNAcentral. Lineage: Eukaryota; Fungi; Ascomycota; Eurotiomycetes; Eurotiales; Aspergillaceae.
GCAUAUCAAUAAGCGGAGGAAAAGAAACCAACAGGGAUUGCCUCAGUAACGGCGAGUGAAGCGGCAAGAGCUCAAAUUUGAAAGCUGGCCCCUUCGGGGUCCGCGUUGUAAUUUGCAGAGGAUGCUUCGGGUGCAGCCCCCGUCUAAGUGCCCUGGAACGGGCCGUCAUAGAGGGUGAGAAUCCCGUCUGGGACGGGGUGUCUGCGUCCGUGUGAAGCUCCUUCGACGAGUCGAGUUGUUUGGGAAUGCAGCUCUAAAUGGGUGGUAAAUUUCAUCUAAAGCUAAAUACUGGCCGGAGACCGAUAGCGCACAAGUAGAGUGAUCGAAAGAUGAAAAGCACUUUGAAAAGAGAGUUAAACAGCACGUGAAAUUGUUGAAAGGGAAGCGUUUGCGACCAGACUCGCCCGCGGGGUUCAGCCGGCAUUCGUGCCGGUGUACUUCCCCGUGGGCGGGCCAGCGUCGGUUUGGGCGGCCGGUCAAAGGCCCUCGGAAUGUAUCACCUCUCGGGGUGUCUUAUAGCCGAGGGUGCAAUGCGGCCUGCCUGGACCGAGGAACGCGCUUCGGCUCGGACGCUGGCGUAAUGGUCGUAAAUGACCCGUCUUGAAACACGGACCAAGGAGUCUAACAUCUACGCGAGUGUUCGGGUGUCAAACCCGUACGCGCAGUGAAAGCGAACGGAGGUGGGAGCCCCCUCGCGGGGCGCACCAUCGACCGAUCCUGAUGUCUUCGGAUGGAUUUGAGUACGAGCGUAGCUGUGGGGACCCGAAAGAUGGUGAACUAUGCCUGAAUAGGGCGAAGCCAGAGGAAACUCUGGUGGAGGCUCGCAGCGGUUCUGACGUGCAAAUCGAUCGUCAAAUUUGGGUAUAGGGGCGAAAGACUAAUCGAACCAUCUAGUAGCUGGUUCCUGCCGAAGU